GUCCAGACUCCUACGGGAGGCAGCAGUGGGGAAUAUUGCACAAUGGGGGAAACCCUGAUGCAGCAACGCCGCGUGAGUGAAGAAGUAUUUCGGUAUGUAAAGCUCUAUCAGCAGGGAAGAAGAUGACGGUACCUGAUUAAGAAGCCCCGGCUAACUACGUGCCAGCAGCCGCGGUAAUACGUAGGGGGCAAGCGUUAUCCGGAUUUACUGGGUGUAAAGGGAGCGUAGACGGUGAUGCAAGUCAGAAGUGAAAGCCCGGGGCUCAACUCCGGGACUGCUUUUGAAACUGUGUAACUGGAGUGCAGGAGAGGUAAGCGGAAUUCCUGGUGUAGCGGCGAAAUGCGUAGAUAUCAGGAGGAACAUCAGUGGCGAAGGCGGCUUACUGGACUGUAACUGACGUUGAGGCUCGAAAGCGUGGGGAGCAAACAGGAUUAGAUACCCCCGUACA
This 448-nucleotide ribosomal RNA is filed under the name uncultured bacterium. RNAcentral's name for it is "bacterial SSU rRNA". It matches the Rfam family "Bacterial small subunit ribosomal RNA", at positions 329 to 794 of the family's 1533-position model. The record is from RNAcentral.